Acanthosepion pharaonis is the source of this 114-nucleotide non-coding RNA. The record is from the annotation of a GenBank genome assembly. Lineage: Eukaryota; Metazoa; Mollusca; Cephalopoda; Sepiida; Sepiidae.
UUACGGCCAUAUCACGUUGAAACAUCGCUUCCCGUACGAUCACCGAAGUUAAACAACGUCCAACCUGCACAGUAUCUAGAUGGGUGAACACUUGGGAAUAUCAGGUGCUGUAAG